Long non-coding RNA from Symphalangus syndactylus (siamang), 2900 nucleotides. RefSeq lists it as uncharacterized. The record is from RefSeq and is a predicted model, not a curated record. NCBI's taxonomy places the organism in Eukaryota, Metazoa, Chordata, Mammalia, Primates, Hylobatidae.
GGGAGGGGAGGGACUGAGAACUGGAUUUUUGGCUUUAAAAACCUGACAGCUGCCAGUGCCCUUUACUGAAAUGAGGAACAUUGGAAAGGAUAAUGUUUAGAAAGAAAUGCAAGGGAGUUAUCCAUUAAUCUAGAUAAAUAUAAAAACUAGUUAAGGAUAAGAUAACUGUUUAUAAUAACAUAUGAAGUAAAAACCCUAACUAAAAUGUGUACAAUAAUUAUAAUUAUGAAGAAAAUGUAUAUUGAAAAUUUUGAGUAGAAAAUAUGGUUACAUGAGAACUUUGAUGUAUUGAGGAGUUAUUGAGAAAUUUGUGGUUUUAAAAAGUUUUAUUGAGUUCUGCUUUGCUUGUUAUACUAUUGUGAACUAAAAAGUAAAAUUCUCGUAAAAAUAAGUCUAUGAGAAAAGCCUAAAAUGAUAGUAAUCCAGAAUAGAAUUUCAUCAUAAUAAAGUCAUUAAAAAGUUGACAUAUUUUGUAAUGGGAAUUAAAAAUAAAAACACUAAAAGCUCUAUUUCCAGGUCCUGAAACCCAAAGCAGAAUUAUCGCAGUGAGGGUUGGGGGGAGGGUGGGUGAGAUUUACUUUUGUUUACACUAACUGAAGGUAAAAUCCCUUUACAUUUAAAAUUGUAUUAAUAAUGGAUUUUUUUUUACUAGUAAUACCUUGGCUUGAUUACAUUAUGAUCUAUAAAUACGUUUUAUACGAAUGACUUCUCCAUGAAACAAAUUGUAGUUAUCAAUCAGUAAAUUUGUUAAUUGAACUAUGUGGAGGGCCCUGAGCUAAGCAGAACAGAUAUAAAUUGGUGCUUGAUUGUUUAUUGAGAGGAAUUGAGCCUGACUUAAAUGUUUUUCCCUAACUUCAAAAGAUAGCUUCCCUACAACUCUGAUAAAUGGAAAACAGCCACAUCUAUCAGAAACAACCCACAUUUCCAAUUUAUGUAUAAAAUAAUAUUUCCUUCGCUUAUUCAGAACUGUUAUCAAAACUCAUGGCCAAAUGUAUAAACUCUGCUAUGAGGCACACAUUUUGAAUGUGUUGAGAAUUAUCACAGCCAAAGUGAAUAUGUAAGGAGAAAAAUUUCAGCUAUAAACAUUAAAAUGUUAAUGUUUUACUAAUAAUUAUGUCCUUAGACACACAGUCUUGUUGGGGAGAACAUUUUCACAAAGAAAAAUAUUUAUCUCUAAAAUCUCACUUUAUUUAUGUAUUUUUCGAGAGUGGAGUCUUGCUAUGCUUCCCGGGCUGCUCUUGACCUUCAGGACUCAAGCAGUCCUCCUACCUUGGCCUCUCAAGUAGCUGGGACUACUGGAUCUCAGGAGGCAGUAGUCAUAUAUUGUUACUUCAGCUCUCCACAAAGGCAAUACAGUACAGAUCUCUGUACUAUAAACGACAACAAGGACCAGUCACAAUUUCAGUUCUUGUUACAUUGAUAAGACUCCUUCAGGUAAGAGAUUAAAACAUGCCUUUAUUAUUAUAAGGUUAGUGACCAUUUUAAUGGAAUAAAAGGAUUAUUCCUGUUGCAUUGGAGAUAGGAAAUUUGGGGUGUGAAUGUGUGAGGUAGGUGUCUUUUCUCUCCUAUGCCUGUAUUGUUCAAAAGCUCUUUGACAUUAGAAAAAGGUUAGCUCUAUAAUCUUAAUAUUAAUAUUUAGUAUAAAAUCUAUGGAGAACACACAUUAUAUAGGGAGCCAAAAAGUUCAACUCUUUUUUUAAUGGAGAGAAGGUAAGUAGGUGAUCUUCACAGACUAAGAGGUUUUGCCUUUUAACACCAACAACAUAAUACUAUUUAUAUUUGCUCUAUCAUUGUGAUUAACCUCCCUUCCCCCUUCAAAAAAAAACACACUUAGCUUACUCACCUGACAGUAAUGAUAUAUAUCAUUUUAAAAACAAAGAAAUUAAUUUUUUCUACCUAAUGUGCAUGACUGAUGUUGAAAAGAUAGUGAGGGUUACCCAUAUAUUCACACAUGUAAAUUGUGGAAAUAAGAGACAGAGAAAAAACUCAACAGAUAUAAUAUGUAAAGCUGUCAAAAGACUUUCAAAUAGCUAAUUCCUUCAGAUCAUAUAUUUCAAUAUAAGUUGCUAUUUAAACAGAGGUCUCUCAUUUGGUGGGAGGAGCUUUUAAAAGAAAAAAUACAUGAAGGUAAGUAAUAUUACCUUUGCCAUUUGUUAUGAAAUAAAUAUAUCAUGAGGAGUUAUGUUUCAUUAAAAUGUAAUACUUAUAGAUGACAGUUUCAAAUGAUCAGAUUUUAAAAUGUAUGUGUUAUGUUUUACCAGGAAGAUUAUACAGUAUUUUUAAUCUUGAUUUUUCAUGACUUCUUGCAAAUAUGCAUUUAUUGCUUUCCAAACCGUAUCUGGGAAUGAAGGAGAAAAAAUUGUUUUAUCCGAAGAGUUAGCUGUUCUUCCUUGGUUCAAUCAGGAGUAAGUUCUGAUAUCGUAGAGGGGAAUGUAUUAAGAUAAUUCCUAAAAUAUAACUGUGCUUUUAUUGUUUUGCGUAUGCUGCCAGGAAGUUAAAAACAUUUUGUUUCAAAUAACUGUGUAUGUUUAAAAGUCAAACCUAUUAUUUGCUAUAUUAUUUGUCAUGUGCUAUAAUUUGACAGAGGAGCAAUGUUUUUCCAAAAAGUAAAAUUUUAUAACCAAAGGCCAUCAAUUGUACAAACGACUAAGAGAAUUAAAUUUUAUUAAGUUGGAAAUGUAAUGUAUUCAUUGUAACUGUUUUAAGAGAAAUUAAGUGAGUGCUUUGUAUGUAGUUAUCUUAAAUGUUAUGUGUAUUCUUUUAGAAAACCUUUUACUUGUUUUCCUUCUUUUCACCUUCAGUGUCCUGGCACGCGACUAGCGCAAAUCAUACCUUGUCUGUCAUAAUAAAGUAUAGAGUUGGAAAUUCUAAAGAGAAUAAAAAUUACUUAACGUCUUUAA